AGCAGCCGCGGUAAUUCCAGCUCCAAUAGCGUAUAUUAAAGUUGUUGCAGUUAAAAAGCUCGUAGUUGGAUUUCGGGAUCAAUACGUCGGUCGUGCUUCGGUACGUACUAACGUCAUUGAUUUCUCCCUUCUGACGAAUCGUGAUGUCAUUAAUUUGGUGUUACGGGGAGUUAGGACUGUUACUUUGAAAAAAUUAGAGUGUUUAAAGCAAGCAAUCGCUCGAAUACAUUAGCAUGGAAUAAUGAAAUAGGACGUUCGAACCUAUUUUGUUGGUUUCUAGGAUCGACGUAAUGAUUAAUAGGGAUAGUUGGGGGCAUUAGUAUUCAAUUGUCAGAGGUGAAAUUCUUGGAUUUAUUGAAGACUAACUACUGCGAAAGCAUUUGCCAAGGAUGUUUUCAUUAAUCAAGAACGAGAGUUAGGGGAUCGAAGACGAUCAGAUACCGUCGUAGU
This 450-nucleotide ribosomal RNA is filed under the name uncultured Glomeromycotina. RNAcentral's name for it is "SSU rRNA". It matches the Rfam family "Eukaryotic small subunit ribosomal RNA", at positions 569 to 1024 of the family's 1831-position model. The record is from RNAcentral. Lineage: Eukaryota; Fungi; Glomeromycota.